Gorilla gorilla gorilla (western lowland gorilla) is the source of this 1104-nucleotide long non-coding RNA. RefSeq lists it as uncharacterized. NCBI's taxonomy places the organism in Eukaryota, Metazoa, Chordata, Mammalia, Primates, Hominidae. The record is from RefSeq and is a predicted model, not a curated record. The transcript has 3 exons.
AACUUCUGGUCCCCUGCCAUCUGUGCUCAGGCAGAGCAGAAAUCUCUCCCUACUGCCCCACCACUUCUUGCUCCAGGACUGACCUCUUCUUGGGAUAACUGCCAGCAGGGACAUUUACUUAUUUUAAAGAAGUCCCCAUCUUUACCACUGGAUUGAGAUUUGCCACCAUAAUGUUAAGACAGUUGCAAAGGAGUACAACACUGGCAUAUUUCCAAAGUCUGGGAUAUUCAUUCUUAUUCUUGGUUAACGUGAUGCAUACCCACACCAAUGCACAUAUACCUUUUGAUUUUCCCAAAAUUGGAUCACAAUUUUGGAUUCCCAAAAUUGGAGGAGUGCUAUGGACUCCUAGUGAUCCAAUAUCGAAAAAAUGGAUCCUGUUUGUGUACCCGCAAAAUGCAUAUGUUGAAGCCCUGGUUCCCGAUGUGAUAGUAUUUGGAGGAGGGCCUUUGGGAGCUGAUUAGAUUUAGACGAGGUCAUGAGAGUGAAGCCCCAUGAUGGGAUUUGUGCCCUUCCAAGGAGAUGAAGGAACCAGCACGCUCUCUUUCUGACAGGUGAGUAUAUGGUAAGAAGGCAGCUGUCUGUGAACCAGAAGGAGGGCCCUCACCAAGAAGUGACCAUGCUGGCACCCUGAUCUUGGACUUCUGGCAUCUGGAACUUGGUGUUUACUAUAAUAAAAUAAUAUGAUGGUGAAGAAUUUGGCCCACAAGAAACACUUAUUCAAGCCUACAAUUUUCCCUGGGCAAGGGAAGGUCACCGUGUCUAUGUCCCAGCAAAUUCUGAAGACACACAUCAAGCUCCUGCAAGCUUGGCUACUGUGGCAGCCAGAGAUCUGGCUAGUUUAAAGAUGAAAACUGCAGCAGAUGAGAAAGAAAAAUACAACGUGAAAAUUUGGCUGAAUUAAAAACACUAAACAGUUUUCAGGAAAGCUGAGUGUCAGAGAGAAACAGACACUGGAGGAAAAGAAAAAAAGAGGACACAAAAACUGUCCUGGCCGAAGGGGUCAUGACCACACAUUAUCCUCCGAUGACGGCUUCUGAUUUUUUCUUCUGCUUGAUCAAUUCUACAAAGACAAAAAAGUAUAAUAAAAAAGUUUUAAAUUUCAAA